GUCCUCGCUUCGACGGCUCAUAUACUAAAAUUGGAACGAUACAGAGAGUAUUAGCAUGGCCUGUGCAAGGAUGGCACACAAAUCCGUGAAGAGUUCCAUUUAAAA
This is a small nuclear RNA of Chionomys nivalis (European snow vole), 105 nucleotides long. The record is from RefSeq and is a predicted model, not a curated record. Lineage: Eukaryota; Metazoa; Chordata; Mammalia; Rodentia; Cricetidae.